This 1855-nucleotide long non-coding RNA is filed under the name Hordeum vulgare. RNAcentral describes it as "long non-coding RNA (HVUL_LNC013057)". Lineage: Eukaryota; Viridiplantae; Streptophyta; Magnoliopsida; Poales; Poaceae. The record is from RNAcentral.
UUAUUAUAUUGUUAGGCUGCGUACUCACCAUCGGAAGAAGUAUUCAGGGCGUGCGAGGGUUGUCAUUGAGCUCUUACUUAGAAAUAGUGAUAAUUACUUGGUUGCAUGGAGGCUUAUUCAUGAAGCUGCUGACUACAAAACAGCGUAUUGGUGCCUGUUCACUGAUACUCGUACUCUAAAUCAAAAAGGGCUUCUCAAAAAUAAGUGCAAACAUACCAAAUAUACAAAUGGGUACAGAAAGCAUCUGUAUGUAUUUCUUGUCUCCUUUCCUGUUUGUGUUCAUUUGUUUGCUUUGUAUUCAUUUUAUUUUUGGGUUUUGUAUGACACCAUUUCAUUUCUCCAUGCAGAGGGAAGGUCAAAAUUUAUGAUAAAUUUCUGCUUGAUGCCGAAUAAUUUUUGCGAAAGCUUUACGCUGCCCCUGCAGCGGAACCAACAGAUGAAGGGUACCGCAUAUUCCAGACUCUGUUUGUGCUGUUCGGUGAAGGUCCAAGAUUUGGUCCGGUGGACAGUCGCACGUUUCAGUCAAUCCUAAAAUCCAUAUCUGAUGUGGCUGCCAUUGGGAAUGGCCGGCUGCAUAAUCUGAUCAAGAACUGGAGGAGCAUGAGCUUUACAACUUUGGUCUUGCACUUACUUCUCUUGGAGGAAGCCAUCAUUGACAAAAUAGUAAGAGAGCGUGGACAUGUGCUGGAUGGGAAGUUUUGCCGUCUGGUUGAUGAAGUUCAGAUUCACCGUACAGUGCUGGCCAAGCGCUUUUGUUCUCUGUUUGCAAAUGUGAAGGAAUUGAACUCGUACCCAGCAUUGAGAUGUGAGGCACACAGGGUUCCUGUUGAAGCUGAUAAUCAAUUGGGGCCUUUCACAAUUGCAAUCUCUGACCCUUCUGCCCGUGGCCAUAUGACCUUGGAACAGUUGACAGAUAACUUCUUGUACCUUUUGAGGUUUGAUUACGAGCUAGUCCUUGGAAUUCUAGCAAGGAUGGAGGGCUUUGAUGAUGUCCUCAACCUCAAGACGCUAAGCGUCUCACAAGAAACAACAGAUCAAGUUCAGUUUGCUACAAAGACCUUCUGAUGUAGCUAGUUCCUGGAACUCUAGCAAGGAUGGAUGGCUUCGAUCAUGUGCUCAACCUCAAGAUUAAGCGGCUGACAAGCAACAAGAGUUCCAAGUUUAGUUUGCUACAAAGACCUUCUGAUGUAGUUCAUGGAAUUCUAGCAAUGAUGAAUGGCUUCGAUCAUGUCGUCAACCGACGCUAAGCGGCUGACAAGCAACAAUAGUUCAAGUUUAGUUUGCUACAAAGGCCUUCUGAUGCUCAACCUCAAGAUUAAGCGGCUGACAAGCAACAACAGUUCCAAGUUUAGUUUGCUACAAAGACCUUCUGAUGUAGUUCAUGGAAUUCUAGCAAUGAUGGAUGGCUUCGAUCAUGUCCUCAACCUCAAGACGCUAAGCGGCUGACAAGCAACAAUAGUUCAAGUUUAGUUUGCUACAAAGGCCUUCUGAUGUAGCUAGUUUAUGCUAGCAUUGAUGGAUGGAUUCGAUCAUGUGCUCAACCUCAAGACGUUGAUGAUUUACCACGUUUGUUUGUGUUUAACCAUUUGACUACACAACAUUUGUAAUAAUAUAUGUAGUAGCUACCUGGUACAUUGCGUAGUUAUGUCGCAAACCGAUGACUGGAGGGCUCUUUCUUUUGCUAAUCAACUCAUUGGUCUUAUUUUCUCCAUCCUUUGAACUGAAGCGCUCUUUCUUUUGUAUAACCACGUCCAUAUGAUGCAUGCUUGCAUGGCCUAAUUGCUGUAUAAUGCAUCCAAAAUCUGAUUGAGGACAACGAAACCUCUUUGCGACAAGCCGAGAUUUCUAAAUGGUG